RNAcentral lists this unclassified non-coding RNA (156 nucleotides) under uncultured Ascomycota. RNAcentral's name for it is "sequence contains ITS2". The record is from RNAcentral. Lineage: Eukaryota; Fungi; Ascomycota.
AAACCCUCAAGCUCAGCUUGGUGUUGGGUGUUUGUCCCGCCUGCCGCGCGAGGACUCGCCUCAAAAGUAUUGGCAGCCGGAACGUUGGCUUUGAGCGCAGCAGAAUAGCGCCCCUGGCCUCGUUGUCCGGUUCUCCAGGAAGCCUGUACCUCCAUG